GACGAACGCUGGCGGCGUGCUUAACACAUGCAAGUCGAACGGAAAGGCCCUGCUUGCAGGGUCCUCGAGUGGCGAACGGGUGAGUAACACGUGGGUGAUCUGCCCUGCACUUCGGGAUAAGCCUGGGAAACUGGGUCUAAUACCGGAUAGGAGCCAUUUUUAGUGUGAUGGUUGGAAAGUUUUUUCGGUGUAGGAUGAGCUCGCGGCCUAUCAGCUUGUUGGUGGGGUAAUGGCCUACCAAGGCGGCGGCGGGUAGCCGGCCUGAGAGGGUGGACGGCCACAUUGGGACUGGGAUACGGCCCAGACUCCGACGGGAGGCAGCAGUGGGGAAGAUUGCACAAGGGGCGCAAGCCUGAUGCAGCGACGCCGCGGGGGGGAGGACGGCCUUGGGGUUGGAAACUCCUUUCGCUAGGGACGAAGCUUUUUGUGACGGUACCUAGAGAAGAAGCACCGGCUAACUACGUG
Molecule: ribosomal RNA, 465 nt
Filed under: uncultured bacterium
Lineage: Bacteria
Description: partial 16S ribosomal RNA
Rfam family: Bacterial small subunit ribosomal RNA
Source: RNAcentral